Unclassified non-coding RNA from Rhipicephalus microplus (southern cattle tick), 595 nucleotides. The record is from RefSeq and is a predicted model, not a curated record. Lineage: Eukaryota; Metazoa; Arthropoda; Arachnida; Ixodida; Ixodidae.
AACAAGUUGGGUACCGCAAGAAUAUAAGGAGCAUUUGAACCUUAAGACGUUUCUCACGACAACAGGAGGCAUAUACACUGUCUUGGCCACGUCUGAAACACGCCGAGGAUUGUGCAAGGUUGACUAUGACAUCAAUGUCACAGACACUCAAGUGUAUUUCAACAGAAGCUACACUCCAGGACAAGAAGGAUGGUGCUGACAGAGGUGCAGAGCAGUUGGUGCACCAAGAUGAUGAGCACAAGUGUGGAAUAUUGUUUGCUGUGCGGAAGCAAAUAUUCGCCAACCAGUGGUACGACAGCUGCGAACUACGUGUAAAUUCUGCUCACUCUCCACCAAUCACGGCUCGAGAAUGCAUAGAGAGCUUUAUAAGAAUCUGCGAUCCAGAACACAUUGUGGCCCAGACUGUAUGGCCAACAUUCUGCGUAUACAUUGUUUCUAGCCCAACAGGAGUCAAAAGCGCAGCGAGAAGCAAAUAUAUUCGGCAGUUGUACAAAAUUGCUAAAACGUAGCACUCGCCUGGUGAACCACCUCUUGGCUACCCAAAGGAUUUCUCAGUAGAGUACUACAGGGUUAUACCCCGUUCUUCCUUAGCACG